This 72-nucleotide transfer RNA is filed under the name Camelus ferus (Wild Bactrian camel). It matches the Rfam family "tRNA". Rfam says of the family: Transfer RNA (tRNA) molecules are approximately 80 nucleotides in length. Their secondary structure includes four short double-helical elements and three loops (D, anti-codon, and T loops). The record is from Rfam by way of RNAcentral. Lineage: Eukaryota; Metazoa; Chordata; Mammalia; Artiodactyla; Camelidae.
AAAGGUGUAGCUCAGUGGUAGAGCACGUGCUUAGCAUGCACAGGGUCAUGGGUUCAAUCCCCAGUACCUCCA